GGGAAUGUGACUUAGAGGUAGAGUGCUUGCCUAGCAUGCAUGAAGCCCUGGGUUCAAUUCCUCAGUACCA
Molecule: transfer RNA, 70 nt
Filed under: Dipodomys ordii (Ord's kangaroo rat)
Lineage: Eukaryota; Metazoa; Chordata; Mammalia; Rodentia; Heteromyidae
Rfam family: tRNA
About the family: Transfer RNA (tRNA) molecules are approximately 80 nucleotides in length. Their secondary structure includes four short double-helical elements and three loops (D, anti-codon, and T loops). Further hydrogen bonds mediate the characteristic L-shaped molecular structure. tRNAs have two regions of fundamental functional importance: the anti-codon, which is responsible for specific mRNA codon recognition, and the 3' end, to which the tRNAs corresponding amino acid is attached (by aminoacyl-tRNA synthetases). tRNAs cope with the degeneracy of the genetic code in two manners: having more than one tRNA (with a specific anti-codon) for a particular amino acid; and 'wobble' base-pairing, i.e. permitting non-standard base-pairing at the 3rd anti-codon position.
Source: Rfam by way of RNAcentral